Molecule: long non-coding RNA, 2839 nt
Organism: Fukomys damarensis (Damara mole-rat)
Lineage: Eukaryota; Metazoa; Chordata; Mammalia; Rodentia; Bathyergidae
Source: Ensembl
CUGCGGGUCAGGGACUCCAUCACCACUGCCCCGGCGGGGACCUUGUUCCCAGGGAGCUGCUGCCUCAGGGCGGCCUUCCGCAGCCCCAUGGCCACACCGCAGGUGCGCAAGAAGCAGGCGGGUCGCUGUCAUCCAGGCGCAGGGCCGCCUUCACGGCCAGCCCGGCUCUGCGCCCCGCGUCCUCCUCUGCUGAUGCCUGGGCGCUUAGAGCAACGCUUGGCCAAAGCGUCAUGGGCCGGGGUCUGUGGCGCGGAAACCACGAUCUCUUCUGGGUUCUUCUUGCCAUGCUGCUGUGACAGGAGCCUGCCGGGCCCAGGGAAGCGGCGCCUACAGACGCGGGCUGGGCUCUGGACACCGGCAGUGACCAGCUGCACCAGGUGGUUGGUGACAACGGGCGUCUGCAGCGAGGAGCGGGAGCCUCUCGGGGUGCUGACGGGUGACACUGCUGGACAGAUUAUACAUUUCAACUUUUCCAGUGACUUCUUGCACAGUGACAUUUUGGUAUAAGACAGUUGAUCAUUGAAAUUGGAUUUCCUGAAACACAGAUAAUCUCUUGACUGAGAAGGAAUACAGAGCCUCUGGGAGCCGGGGUCCUGGCACAGGGCUCGGUCUGGAUAGGGCUGGAGAGUGGGCCUCGGCAGGGCUGAGGUCACCAGACAUAAAUGGACUCCUACUAGGGCACUGGGCGGCAUUCGCCUCCUCCAGGAAACCGUAAGCUUCACGAAGGCAGGGCCUUUGUUCAUCCCAUCCUCAUCUUCAUCUGCACAUGCCUGCGACAGUGCCUGCCUGAAACACGGAGUGGUAGAAGAGUCAAUAUGUGUUUGAGUGAAGAAACGUUAGUUGACUUCUGAACUCAGAUCUUCUGGUGAGUGCCUCUGGGAAAAUCUUUUCCCUCCAUGAGAUCUUCUUCUCAUCCUGCAUGUUUUGUGUUCUUUACAACCUUUGGCACCCUGUUAAAAAGACCUCAGUGUGUGGAAGCAAGAGGAAAUAUUUGGGGUGACCACCGAAUCCACCUGGAUUUGUGAUCUCCAACACCCCCAUCUUUGAAACAACUUUGCUUAUCUCAACCCAGAAGUCAUAGCAAGGCACAGUCAUGCAGGAUCUCACCAGAGGCGGCACUGGCCCCUAGAGUGGGUACACAGACACUAGCUCUGGUGGUGUAGAGAUGGAGUCUUUCAUGUCCAAGUCAGCCCUGGUUUGUAGGGAAGCACCCAUGCCUGUGUCCCAAGCAUUCAGAGUGUGUCAGCUCCCUUAUUUGUCCACUCAUUCCUUAAAGUUUCUUAAAUGCUCACACACACUUAUUGGCACACAAGGUAGGAAAGUGAGUAGUCAGGAGACCUAAGAGAGCUGAGUACAGAGUGAGGGAGCAUGGAGAACAACUGAUUUCAGUCUCCUGGAUCCAGGAAGACACCUGGAAGUGGUCACUCUUGAGCAGAACGAGGCCAAGUAAAGAGGAGGUGGGAGCCAGGUGGGGAGAGAAACGUCAGACGCAUCACACACUCUCAACUGUGAGAGUUAGAACUGUUCUUGGGAACCCUGAAGUCCCAGACCUGGGAAGUGGGGAGCAGCACUCAUGAGCCCAGAGGGCAAUGAUGCCACUGUUGACCAAUGGCUGGGUGGGUAUGGGCCAAGCAUUGCUAGGUAAAUGCUUCCUGGACAUUUGAUUGCUCAUCAGAAUGUGGGGAGGCUGAUACUGGGGCUAGACCCAUCUUCGAGACGAGUAAAGACAAAUCCAGAACGAAGUGAGCUCACUGUGGUCCGCCAGGGGCUCAGCCAUUCUGAUGUCCCUGAUAGCCAAAGUGGUGGCAAGGAAGACCUGGCUGGUCCUCGCUACCUGGGUGCUGGGCUACCCACACUGCCCAUGUGACCCUGGAGGUUGCUUGGAGAGCAGAGGACACAGCUGAGGAGGGACCCUCUGCGUAGUAGGGCUGUGCCUGAGGACAGAGACGUCAGACCUGGGCCUGGCUGCCACCUUGUAGGACAGCAAGCUGACUUCCGUGAGCAGCUCUAGAACAUUUCCUGGGGAGCGGUGAGGAAAACUGUUGCCUCCACCUGAUUUUAACAUCUUUGGAGGCAUCACGUUACAUCAUCAGAGAACAAUGACAGGCUUCUUCCUUUACAAAAAUAUAUUUCAUAAAUAAACGUCCUAUACAUUUUUAACAGGGCACUCACAAGGUAAUUUCAUCUUUAUUUUUCUUCAUGGUGCUCCUUGCUCUCUGACAGUGUAUUUAUUUCCUUGUUUAUCAUCUAUGUCCCCAGCAAGGGCGUGUUUCACGGAAGAGCAGGGUGGCUCCACCUGUUCCCAGGGUCCUCAGUGUGGGCACAGGGCCUGGCACAGAGGAAGUCACAGAAACUCACAGCAUCCAGGCCUAAAAAAAUAUCAGUGAAACGCAAUGCCACGAAAGCAGUGUGAGUCUGCUCCUGACUUUCUUAAUGGCUUUGGGGGGACCUAGCUGGAGCUCAGAAUCACCACCUACUUUUGUGUGGCAUGUAUGAGGGGAUGAACUGUGACCUUUUAAAAUUAUUGUGGUGAAGUCCUAACCACCCGGUACCAUAGAAUGCCUUUAAAGAAGUGAUUAAAUUAAGAUGAGGUCUAAUCCAAUCUGUGUAGGAGAAAACCCUAACACUAAACCCACAGCGGCUGCAUGCUCAGAGAAAGGACUAUGUGAGGACACAGCAAGUGGUGGUCACCUGUAAGCCAAGGAGAGAGACCUCAGAGAAGCCACCCCCACCAAGCAGCACCCUGUUUCAGACUUCCAGCCUCUGAGACUGUAAAAAAAUAAAUCUCCACCGUUUAAAUCACUCAGCCUGUGAUGUUCUGUUACAGCAUCUCCACCGA